UUCCUCAUUGUCUCUGUCAUUUUAUUCUUCUUCAAAUUUCCUAUUAUCUUCUUCUUUUCCCAGUCUUCCUCUCCCUCUUCCUCUUCCACUCUCUGCCUCAUCUGCUUCAAAUCUUCCUUCUCUCCUCUUCCUAUCUUUGUCGCAUCUCCUUUCGAUCUCACACGUUGGAUCCCUCUCUUCAUUGCUGGAUCGUCAUUUUAUCUCACUGCUCAAGUCUUCAUCUUUGAUCUUAAACUUGCUUAGGCACUCAGUCUCUCCAUUUCAGCUCUUCCAGCUCAUUUGGGUUUACAUCUGUCACAAACUGACCAGUUUCCAUUCCUAGCGCAGAGGAAGAUUUAGUAAACAUGCCUUCUAUGGAAGCAAAAAGAUGCCCGUAACAUGAGCAAGGAUGACUUGAGCUGUAACUUUUAACAUGAUCUCUUUUCCUACUUAUGUGUCUGCUAAUUAUGAAUUCUUUUAAUCAUUUUCUUGACCCAAGUAGUUGAAUUAGUUGUCAAGGAUCUUCUCACUGUAGCUGGUAAACACAAAUAUUGAUUAUGGGCAUUAACCCCUUCUGAAUAAGUAACUAAUGAGUUUGACCCAAUGUCAUCUCGUACUCCCUCAAGAUCCUGUUGAAAUAUCGUACCUCAUCCUGUGCCUGUCCAAAAAUAAUACCAUCAUUUGCAAAUAAUAAACGUGAGACUAAGGGAGCACCCUGGCAGAUUUGAACAGCAUGGAUAGCUCUCUCCCGUAUGACCUCCCAAAUCAUGGCGUAGAAACCCUUUGCACAAAGAAUAAAUUGUUUUUGUAAGAUAAUUAUUCACCCACAUGGACUCAGAAACAAUGUAACACAUUCCAUUACUAAAUACACAAAAGAUCAAUCAAACCCCAAUUUUUUAACAUGAUAUCCCGAAGAUAUAGCCACACAAUUUAUUAACAUCUAAUCUAAGAGUAAAAUACUGGGUAUUUCUAAAAUUGGUACAUCUCCUCAUAAAAUGGAACAACUCUAAACUUACUAAUGCAUGAUCAGUAAUCAAGCAACCAAGUAUAAAAGCUGAUUGAGGCUCGUGAACAAUUUCAGACAAACAUAAUCUCGGCCUAUUAGCAAUACAUUUGGUUACUAAUUUCAUUACAAAAUUGCAGAGACUAAUACGACAAAAAUCUGAAGAGGUACUUGUAUUUUGGUAUGGAAAAAAUAGAGGUAUAUGUCACAUCUCCUGAAGAAGGAAAAUCUAAUUUGUAACGAGCAAACUUCUAAAACUCCCGUCAGAAAAUCUUACCAGAGAAGGCAAAUGAACCCAAAACCAGGCAAGUAACUGGGACCCGCCUGCUACUGACAGUAGGGAAAAAGAACCCUAAAUCAAGUACCAUAAGUAACCAUCUAUGUAAUUAAUAUGUCCACUUCCCUCCCU
RNAcentral lists this long non-coding RNA (1391 nucleotides) under Carica papaya (papaya). Its description in RNAcentral is "long non-coding RNA (CPAP_LNC007714)". Lineage: Eukaryota; Viridiplantae; Streptophyta; Magnoliopsida; Brassicales; Caricaceae. The record is from RNAcentral.